RNAcentral lists this ribosomal RNA (493 nucleotides) under uncultured soil bacterium. RNAcentral describes it as "bacterial SSU rRNA". It matches the Rfam family "Bacterial small subunit ribosomal RNA", at positions 26 to 516 of the family's 1533-position model. The record is from RNAcentral.
AGAUUGAACGCUGGCGGCAGGCCUAACACAUGCAAGUCGAGCGGUAGAGAGGUGCUUGCACCUCUUGAGAGCGGCGGACGGGUGAGUAAUGCCUAGGAAUCUGCCUAGUGGUGGGGGAUAACGUUCGGAAACGGACGCUAAUACCGCAUACGUCCUACGGGAGAAGGCGGGGGACCUUCGGGCCUCGCGCCAUUAGAUGAGCCUAGGUCGGAUUAGCUAGUUGGUGAGGUAAUGGCUCACCAAGGCGACGAUCCGUAACUGGUCUGAGAGGAUGAUCAGUCACACUGGAACUGAGACACGGUCCAGACUCCUACGGGAGGCAGCAGUGGGGAAUAUUGGACAAUGGGCGAAAGCCUGAUCCAGCCAUGCCGCGUGUGUGAAGAAGGUCCUCGGAUUGUAAAGCACUUUAAGUUGGGAGAAGGUUGUAACUUAAUACGUUGCAACUUUGACGUUACCGACAGAAUAAGCACCGGCUAACUUCGCGCCAGCAGCC